CUGAGGAAGCUAGAAGGAGGGGCCUGGCUCUUGCCUGGACUCGCACAUCAGGGAAGAUUUCCUGGGUCUUGAAGGGCUGGAGGAAUGAACUGGGUGAGAAUGAGAGGACAGCAUUUUAGCACAGAAGAAUGAGGCACGAAACCACACGUAGUUGGAGAAGCUGGAGUAGUAUUUCCCAAAGCCUGGGACACUAAUCACACUUAAUAUUCUGAUUUUCAGCAGUUCAUGGUCAGUAAAACUAACAGGCAAGAAAUCCUCUGAGGGAAGACGAGAUUGGUCAAAGCCGAAGGACAGGUGCUAACAGUGAGUAUCGACUGCAAACCAGCAAAGUGCCAAAGGACCUUCAAGGAGAGCAAAUCAAUGGGCCAGAAGUGAUAAUUUUCUAGAAGUUCUGGGAGGAAGCACGAGCUUCUGAAGCACAGCCGUUCACCGCCUUGCACCCGGUCUGUGGCCCUUUGUUAUGGCAGCCCUAGUGAACUGACACAGCUCCCUCCCUGAAUCGGACUGGCCUGUGCUUACGGAGAUGGCAUUAUGACCCAGGCCACAUCAUAAAGGCUAUAGACCUUCCAUUGGGUCUCUUGGGAGACUGGUCAGCCACGCUGUGAAGAAGCCCCGGUCAUCUGAAAAGGUCACAUGCUGGUGUUCCAGCCCACAAUCCCAGAGUCCAGGAAAAAAAGGCAAAAGUGCCAGCCUGUCAGAGGAUGAGAAGCGUUGUCUGUUCCAGAAGAGGAAACUGGAAAGCAGACUGUAGUAGGACCUAAAAUCUCAGCCAAAUGAGGAGCACUGCCAGCCUGACUCCCCCACAAGUGAAGUGUCUGAAUCCGUCACGAGCAGAACGAGUGCAGAAGACGUAGGCCCACGGGUGCCGAGGGUCUGCCUCCAUCAGGUCAUCUGGGGAUCCAACCCGAGGACAAUGGAGUCUGGAAACCUGCCCAAUUAUUUCCUAGCUUGCUCUUCUUUCUAGUUUUUUUUUUUACUUUGCCCUUCCUUGUUUUUUUAACAAAAUUCAUUUUGAGAGAUUCCAAAUUCUUUUCAGGGAUGGGGAAAUUUUUUAAAACCACAGCUUUACUGAGGAGUAAUUGACAUACAAUACACUGUGCAUAUUUAAAGUAUACAGUCUGAUAUGUUUUGAGAUAUAUAUAUUGGCGGAACCGUCACCGUAAUCAAGAUAGUGAACAUAUCCAUCAUUCCCAAAAGAUCCCUUGGCCAUUUUAUUUAUGUAUUUAUUUAUUUGGUGAGGAAGAUUGGCCCUGAGCUAACAUCUGUUGCCAAUCUUCCUUUUUUUUACUUGAGGAAGAUUGUUGCUGAGCUAACAUCUGUGGCAAUCUUGCUCUGUUUCAUAUGUGGGAUGCUGCCACAGCAUGGCUUGAUGAGCUGUGUGUAGGUCCACACUGGGAUACGAAGUCACCAACCCCAGCCACUGAAGCAGAGCAUGCAAACUAGCCACUGUGCCACUGGACCAGCCCCUCCUUGGUCGUUUUAAGGCCCUGUCUCUGUCCUUUCUGCCCCACAAAGGGAGGGGGGAGUAUUGAUCCUCAGUCAGCUUUGCUUGGGGAGCAUAUUGCCCCUAGUGGCGGAGUGUGGUAAUGACCUCCAUGCCUGGCUUGCUGGAAAUGUCUCUCCUGGAUGAGGAGAAAAGUGGAACUUCAGAGGCUCUGUGUGAGUGUAAUGGUGUGUGUGUGUUUUAC
Molecule: long non-coding RNA, 1688 nt
Organism: Equus caballus (horse)
Lineage: Eukaryota; Metazoa; Chordata; Mammalia; Perissodactyla; Equidae
Source: Ensembl